Molecule: ribosomal RNA, 498 nt
Filed under: uncultured bacterium
Lineage: Bacteria
Description: partial 16S ribosomal RNA
Rfam family: Bacterial small subunit ribosomal RNA
Source: RNAcentral
AUUGAACGCUGGCGGCAUGCCUUACACAUGCAAGUCGAACGGUAACAGGUCUUCGGAUGCUGACGAGUGGCGAACGGGUGAGUAAUACAUCGGAACGUGCCUAGUAGUGGGGGAUAACUACUCGAAAGAGUGGCUAAUACCGCAUGAGAUCUACGGAUGAAAGCAGGGGAUCGCAAGACCUUGUGCUACUAGAGCGGCCGAUGGCAGAUUAGGUAGUUGGUGGGAUAAAAGCUUACCAAGCCGACGAUCUGUAGCUGGUCUGAGAGGACGAUCAGGCACACUGGGACUGAGACACGGCCCAGGCUCCUACGGGAGGCAGCAGUGGGGAAGUUUGGACAAUGGGCGCAAGCCUGAUCCAGCAAUGCCGCGUGCAGGAUGAAGGCCUUCGGGUUGUAAAGUGCUUUUGUACGGAACGAAAAGCACUGGGUUAAUACCCUGGGGUCAUGACGGUACCGUAAGAAUAAGCACCGGCUAACUACGUGCCAGCAGCCGCGGUAA